AGCUAAGUUUGUUAUUGGUAUGAGCUUUCGUGUGCAUGCACACUUCUUCAGAUACACACGAAGUAUCUGAAGAAGUGUGCAUGUACACGAAAGCUCAUACCAAUAACAAACUUAGUUGG
RNAcentral lists this microRNA precursor (119 nucleotides) under Podarcis lilfordi (Lilford's wall lizard). Lineage: Eukaryota; Metazoa; Chordata; Lepidosauria; Squamata; Lacertidae. The record is from RNAcentral.